GAACGCACAUUGCGCCCGCCAGUAUUCUGGCGGGCAUGCCUGUUCGAGCGUCAUUUCAACCCUCAAGCCCCCGGGCUUGGUGUUGGGGAUCGGCGUGCCCUCGCGGCGCGCCGUCCCCUAAAUCUAGUGGCGGUCUCGCUGUAGCUUCCUCUGCGUAGUAGCAACACUCGCACUGGAUCGCAGCGCGGCCACGCCGUUAAACCCCCCACUUCUGAAAGUUUGACCUCGGAUCAGGUAGGAAUACCCGCUGAACUUAAG
This 258-nucleotide unclassified non-coding RNA is filed under the name Neonectria candida. RNAcentral describes it as "sequence contains 5.8S rRNA gene". The stretch from base 1 to 53 matches the Rfam family "5.8S ribosomal RNA", at positions 102 to 154 of the family's 154-position model. Lineage: Eukaryota; Fungi; Ascomycota; Sordariomycetes; Hypocreales; Nectriaceae. The record is from RNAcentral.